GUGCACUCACGCAAGUGAGUGCUUUUGUGAAGUGUAAAUAGCUUCACGAAUAAAAGCGGGGUAAGACCGGUGCCAGCCGCCGCGGUAACACCGGCCGCUUGAGUGGUGAUCACUAUUAUUGGGCCUAAAGCGUCCGUAGCCGGUUUGGUAAGUCCUUGGGCAAAUCCUGUUGCUUAACAGCAGGAAUUCUGAGGAUACUGUCAGACUUGAAGUCGAGAGAGGUCGGAGGUACUCCUGGGGUAGCGGUGAAAUGUUAUAAUCCUGGGGGGACCACCAGUGGCGAAAGCGUCCGACCAGAGCGAGCUUGACGGUAAGGGACGAAAGCCAGGGGAGCGAACGGGAUUAGAUACCCCGGUAGUCCUGGCCGUAAACGCUGUGGGCUAGGUGUUGCAUGCUCUACGAGGGCGUGCAGUGCCGUAGAGAAGUUGAUAAGCCUACCGCCUGGGAAGUACUAUCGCAAGAUAGAAACUUAAAGGAAUUGGCGGGGGAGCACCACAAGGGGUGAAGUCUGCGGUUCAACUGGAUUCAACGCCGGACAUCUCACUGGAAGCGACGGCAGGAUGACAGCCAAGCUGAUGACUUUGCUUGACGAGCCGAGAGGAGGUGCAUGG
Molecule: ribosomal RNA, 611 nt
Filed under: uncultured archaeon
Lineage: Archaea
Description: bacterial SSU rRNA
Rfam family: Archaeal small subunit ribosomal RNA
Source: RNAcentral